ACAGCUUUGGACAAAAGUCUAUAGCCAGUGCAUUUGAAACUCCCCUUGCACAAGGACUGACUGUAGCUGUGGGAAGACAUUUUCCUCAUUUGCUCUCUCCUUGCAGCAGUCAGCUGGUCCCUCUUCUCAGGUGUAAAUCACCUAUUAUAAUUUCCCCCAGUUUUGAUACUCUGAUGAGGAGCGUCCCAGGACUUCUCAGCUGGGGUAGGCCUCACAGGACAGCUGU
This is a non-coding RNA of Tupaia belangeri (northern tree shrew), 226 nucleotides long. The record is from Rfam. NCBI's taxonomy places the organism in Eukaryota, Metazoa, Chordata, Mammalia, Scandentia, Tupaiidae.